Molecule: ribosomal RNA, 802 nt
Filed under: uncultured bacterium
Lineage: Bacteria
Description: bacterial SSU rRNA
Rfam family: Bacterial small subunit ribosomal RNA
Source: RNAcentral
AGAGUUUGAUCCUGGCUCAGAAUCAACGCUGGCGGCAUGCCUAACACAUGCAAGUCGAACGCGGUUUCCUCGCAAGGGGAAGCUGAGUGGCGAACGGGUGAGUAACGCGUGGGUGACCUACCUUCGAGUGGGGGAUAACGUCCCGAAAGGGACGCUAAUACCGCAUGACAUCCUGCCUUUGAAUAGGUGGAGAUCAAAGCCGGGGAUCGCAAGACCCGGCGCUUGAUGAGGGGCCCGCGUCCGAUUAGCUAGUUGGUGGGGUAACGGCUCACCAAGGCGACGAUCGGUAUCCGGCCUGAGAGGGCGACCGGCCACACUGGGACUGAGACACGGCCCAGACUCCUACGGGAGGCAGCAGUGGGGAAUAUUGCGCAAUGGGCGGAAGCCUGACGCAGCGACGCCGCGUGAGGGAUGACGGCCUUCGGGUUGUAAACCUCUUUCAGCUCUGACGAAGCGUGAGUGACGGUAGGGGCAGAAGAAGCGCCGGCCAACUACGUGCCAGCAGCCGCGGUAAUACGAAGGGGGCGAGCGUUGUUCGGAUUUACUGGGCGUAAAGGGCGCGUAGGCGGCUCAUCAAGUCAGGCGUGAAAGCCCCGGGCUCAACCUGGGAGGUGCGCUUGGGACUGGCGAGCUUGAGAUCGGGAGAGGAGAGUGGAAUUCCCAGUGUAAAGGUGAAAUUCGUAGAUAUUGGGAAGAACAUCAGUGGGGAAGGCGACUUCCUGGACCAAUACUGACGCUCAGGUGCGAAAGCGUGGGGAGCAAACAGGAUUAGAUUACCUGGUUGUCCACGCCCUAUACGAAU